Molecule: ribosomal RNA, 1305 nt
Filed under: uncultured bacterium
Lineage: Bacteria
Description: bacterial SSU rRNA
Rfam family: Bacterial small subunit ribosomal RNA
Source: RNAcentral
AGUCGAGCGGAACGAUACCAGCUUGCUGGUAGGCGUCGAGCGGCGGACGGGUGAGCAAUACUUAGGAAUCUACCUAGUAGUGGGGGAUAGCUCGGGGUAACUCGAAUUAAUACCGCAUACGACCUACGGGAGAAAGGGGGCAGUUUACUGCUCUCGCUAUUAGAUGAGCCUAAGUCGGAUUAGCUAGAUGGUGGGGUAAAGGCCUACCAUGGCGACGAUCUGUAGCUGGUCUGAGAGGAUGAUCAGCCACACCGGGACUGAGACACGGCCCGGACUCCUACGGGAGGCAGCAGUGGGGAAUAUUGGACAAUGGGGGAAACCCUGAUCCAGCCAUGCCGCGUGUGUGAAGAAGGCCUUUUGGUUGUAAAGCACUUUAAGCAGUGAAGAAGACUCCUCGGUUAAUACCCGUGGACGAUGACAUUAGCUGCAGAAUAAGCACCGGCUAACUCUGUGCCAGCAGCCGCGGUAAUACAGAGGGUGCAAGCGUUAAUCGGAAUUACUGGGCGUAAAGCGAGCGUAGGUGGCUUGAUAAGUCAGAUGUGAAAUCCCCGGGCUUAACCUGGGAACUGCAUCUGAAACUGUUAGGCUAGAGUAGGUGAGAGGAAGGUAGAAUUCCAGGUGUAGCGGUGAAAUGCGUAGAGAUCUGGAGGAAUACCGAUGGCGAAGGCAGCCUUCUGGCAUCAUACUGACACUGAGGCUCGAAAGCGUGGGUAGCAAACAGGAUUAGAUACCCUGGUAGUCCACGCCGUAAACGAUGUCUACUAGUCGUUGGGUCCCUUGAGGACUUAGUGACGCAGCUAACGCAAUAAGUAGACCGCCUGGGGAGUACGGCCGCAAGGUUAAAACUCAAUGAAUUGACGGGGGCCCGCACAAGCGGUGGAGCAUGUGGUUUAAUUCGAUGCAACGCGAAGAACCUUACCUGUCUUGACAUAUCUAGAAUCCUGCAGAGAUGCGGGAGUGCCUUCGGGAAUUAAAAUACAGGUGCUGCAUGGCUGUCGUCAGCUCGUGUCGUGAGAUGUUGGGUUAAGUCCCGCAACGAGCGCAACCCUUGUCCUUAGUUACCAGCGGGUUAAGCCGGGAACUCUAAGGAUACUGCCAGUGACAAACUGGAGGAAGGCGGGGACGACGUCAAGUCAUCAUGGCCCUUACGACCAGGGCUACACACGUGCUACAAUGGUAGGUACAGAGGGCAGCUACACAGCGAUGUGAUGCGAAUCUCAAAAAGCCUAUCGUAGUCCAGAUUGGAGUUUGCAACUCGACUCCAUGAAGUAGGAAUCGCUAGUAAUCGCGGAUCAGAAUGCCGCG